GUGCCAGCAGCCGCGGUGAUACGUACGGUGCGAGCGUUGUCCGGAUUUAUUGGGCGUAAAAGAGCUCGUAAGUGGUUGAUUCGCGUCGGAAGUGUAAUCUUGGGGCUUAACCCUGAGCGUGCUUUCGAUACGGGUUGACUUGAGGAAGGUAGGGGAGAAUGGAAUUCCUGGUGGAGCGGUGGAAUGCGCAAAUAUCAGGAGGAACACCAGUGGCGAAGGCGGUUCUCUGGUCCUUUCCUGACGCUGAGGAGCGAAAGCGUGGGGAGCGAACAGGCUUAGAUACCCUGGUAGUCC
This 294-nucleotide ribosomal RNA is filed under the name uncultured microorganism. RNAcentral's name for it is "partial 16S ribosomal RNA". It matches the Rfam family "Bacterial small subunit ribosomal RNA", at positions 505 to 796 of the family's 1533-position model. The record is from RNAcentral.